Molecule: ribosomal RNA, 301 nt
Filed under: uncultured bacterium
Lineage: Bacteria
Description: partial 16S ribosomal RNA
Rfam family: Bacterial small subunit ribosomal RNA
Source: RNAcentral
CAGCAGCCGCGGGAAUACGAAGGGUGCAAGCGUUAAUCGGAAUUACUGGGCGUAAAGCGUGCGUAGGCGGUGAGUUAAGUCUGCUGUGAAAUCCCCGGGCUCAACCUGGGAAUGGCAGUGGAUACUGGCUCGCUAGAGUGUGUCAGAGGAUGGUGGAAUUCCCGGUGUAGCGGUGAAAUGCGUAGAGAUCGGGAGGAACAUCAGUGGCGAAGGCGGCCAUCUGGGACAACACUGACGCUGAGGCACGAAAGCGUGGGGAGCAAACAGGAUUAGAUACCCCGGUAGUCCCUGUCUCUUAUAU